AUCUGUACUCAAUGUGACUGUUGAGUGCUGUUAUUCUCUAGGUAUAUUAUCAGAGCAUUGUAAAGGAAGAGCAUUUCUCUGCGAACUCAUGGAAAAACAGUGGGGUUUUUUUCUUGGCCAGAUUCCCCAAAGAGAAUUGAAUUUCAAGAUGUGCAACUGCAUGGAAUUACACAGCAUGGCUAAAACAUACAGCAUUCAGACACAAAAUAACCCUUUUUCUCAUCUGAACUCUUCACUUAGAGGAAACUGUAAACUAAGUUGCAGUGGUGUUUGAGAAGAUAAACCAGACACUCAGACAUUGUAGCUGCUGAGAUGAUCCUCUCCUGUAAACAGGGAUUUGUGGACAGCAGUUUCUCAAACAUGCACCCAUGAUUGCUGAAACUUCUUUGCAAUCACUCUGAGUGUGGCCUUCAAAUGACCUAGCAUCUGCUCCGUAAACAGCUGUCCAGCGAGCCUUUUGUUGUCAUCUGUAUUCUUUUUCAUAGCAGUGGAGAAAGGAAGAAACCCUAUAGCCCCUAGCUAGCUGCUGUGUUUCUCUGCUAGAGAUUGCCCACCCCAUCAGGGGAGUUGGUCAGUGAAACAGAGCUUUGCUUUCCACAUCCCAAUACACAUACUUCAGCUGCCACCAGUGACUCAAUGCAGCACGUUGUGGUUUGGACAGAUGAGCUUCUCUUUCAUCUCUUCUACACUGGCAAAGAAGCAACAUAGCUGUGGACUGCAAGAACACAACACACAACAUCACAGUACCUGUACUGAUGCUAUACAAAGCAUAUGCCUUCACUUGUCUGAGCAUCUGUUUCCCAAUGCAUAAAGAAUGGUUAAAAAUAUUGGUCUGGUAAGAAUGGCUCUAAUGUGAAAAAACCAGCUAGCUCCCACUCUCCAUAUAGUUCAUUAGGAUUUUAAAGUACUCAUGAGUGCAAAUAUGGGUAUAGAAAGACAUAUUUCUGAAGUUUUUGAAAAUAACAAAAUAAUGAAUGAUUAAAGUUAAUUAUUUUGAAAAUGUCAUUAUUUCCUUCUGAAUCAAUUGCAGAUUAAAAAAUAUUUUUUUUUUAUUUUAUUUUGCUGUUGUUGAAAACAAAUAAUACCUUCC
Molecule: long non-coding RNA, 1090 nt
Filed under: Parus major (Great Tit)
Lineage: Eukaryota; Metazoa; Chordata; Aves; Passeriformes; Paridae
Description: lncRNA (ENSPMJG00000016617.1)
Source: RNAcentral